RNAcentral lists this RNase P RNA (297 nucleotides) under Rickettsiales bacterium. RNAcentral's name for it is "RNase P RNA component class A". It matches the Rfam family "Bacterial RNase P class A". Rfam says of the family: Ribonuclease P (RNase P) is a ubiquitous endoribonuclease, found in archaea, bacteria and eukarya as well as chloroplasts and mitochondria. Its best characterised activity is the generation of mature 5'-ends of tRNAs by cleaving the 5'-leader elements of precursor-tRNAs. Lineage: Bacteria; Pseudomonadati; Pseudomonadota; Alphaproteobacteria; Rickettsiales. The record is from RNAcentral.
GCAGAUAAGCAAAAGCAUAGCGGACAAGCGUCCGAGGAAAGUCCGGACUGCAUGGGACAACAUAGUGGCUAACGGCCACGCGGGGCGACCCGACGAUCAGAGCAACAGAGACGAGCUGAUUCAAUUCAGGUGAAACGGGCAAUCUCUAUGUGCAGCAACUUCAAAUAGGUUCUCUAUAUUCGGUCCCAGAUUGAGAACGGGUAGAAGGCUUGACACUUGUGGCAACACAAUGUGCAGAUUGAUUAUGCUUGCCACGGAAACGUGGAACAGAAUCCGGCUUAUCGCUUAUCUGCCUUG